GCGACGAACACACAUCUACUGACUGAAUACCACGCCCUACUCAGAGGAAACUUUGUUACCCAGAUAUCAUUUGGAGGUUCCCGUUUUAGAUAAGAGACAGGAAACCACCGACUGCUCGCCGCAAGCCUUUCGAAAUAAGAAUUUGUGGAUGGUUACCAAAGAAGCUCAUUGGGUGGAGAGCGAUGUACGGCUUGGCUUUUGUGUGAAAAAGCUGCUCGCUUGUCGACUGAAAUUUGACGCAGGAUUUUAUAAUGUAAGACAAAAGAUAAAAUAAAUAAAAAAUUUAUCUAGA
Molecule: long non-coding RNA, 292 nt
Organism: Athalia rosae (coleseed sawfly)
Lineage: Eukaryota; Metazoa; Arthropoda; Insecta; Hymenoptera; Athaliidae
Exons: 2
Source: RefSeq, a predicted model, not a curated record